RNAcentral lists this transfer RNA (64 nucleotides) under Menacanthus cornutus. Its description in RNAcentral is "tRNA-Leu". Lineage: Eukaryota; Metazoa; Arthropoda; Insecta; Psocodea; Menoponidae. The record is from RNAcentral.
AGCAGGUUAUCAUAUUUAAUGAAUUAAGCUUAGAACUUAAAUAAGGUUGAAAAACCACUUGCCA